GUCUGCUUUGGUUUGGCUUCUAGUCGCCAUGUUUGUGUUGGUAGUGAAAAGGAUGUCGAGACUUAUUAGGGAAUUUUGAUAGGUAUAGUUUGUGUGUGUGUUUCUGUUGGGAUUUCUUAUAUUUAUAGUGUUCAGUUAUUAUUGAGGGUGUGAGUGUUUAAGAUAUAAUACGUCCAAAAUGGUGGUGUCAGUUUGGUUAACGGUGGUGGAAUUUACUGUUAUAUAUAUUUUUUUUGUUUGUGUAUUUUAAUUGUUUAUUUCAUUCUUGAAUUUUAGUGUUUGGGUUUAGCGGUUGAAUGAGAAGGUUACCAUAACAGGUUGAAAAAUUUGACCGCUAGGUUUCUGUUAGCGUUGUUUUCAAGUCUGAAAGGAAAAGUAAAGUUUUUUCCCAGUUUGUACGGAUUUGUUUUUGCAUAUAUAUAUAUGUACAUAUAUAUUUAUAUUUUAUUACAUUGUAUUUCAUUUUAUUAUAUUUUCUGUUUGUCAAUUAUUUUUAUUUUUAUUUAUCUAUUUAUUUUACUUAUUAUAAUUUUUUUUUAUUUGCCUUUUUCUUGAAUGACCGCGACUUUUAUCCGAGAUAAACAGUCUGCGUUUUGAUGUACUCUACCUGGCUUGUAUUGUAUUCUAUAAUUUGUACUUGCUAGCUGUAUUGCCCACUGACCUAGUUUUCCAUUAUUAUCUUUUUGAUUUUGUAGCCAUUGAAUAGGGCUAUGGUUGCUGAUGACCAAAAAGGUUCGUCAAGAAGGUAGAGACGGAAAGAUUUUAUGGCAAAGAUCACUGCGAGGGCUUCUUUUUCUACGGUAGCGUAAUUUAAUUCUGGUUUUCUGAGCUGUCUACUUGCUUACGCAAUAACUACUUCAUUACCGUCUUGAAUUUGAGACAAUAUCGCCCCUAUCCAUAAUUACAUGCGUCAGUAAAAAGUAAAAAUUGCUUGCUUAAGUCGGGAUAUGCCAGAAUAGGCUUAGUUGUAAGGCAUGUUCGGAGGGUCUCAAAAGCUACCUGAUCUUCGUCAGUCCAAACGAAAGGUUCUUUUAAAGCUAAUUUAUGAGUUUUCUUUGUUAGUGGCUGGGCAAUCGAACCAAAUCCUUUAAUAAAACGUCCAUAGUAUCCUGCUAGUCCCAAAAAAGAUCUAAUGUCGUCAGCUGACUGAGGAACUGGAUAAUUAAGAAUGUUAUCAAUUUUUUCGGGAUCUGGUGCGAUGCCUUUUUUAGAAAUGAUAUGGCCUAAAAAAUUUACUGAAUUUUUAAUAAACUGGCAUUUUUUGAGUUUAAGUUUAAGGUUGGCGAUUUUUAAAAUGUUGAAUACUUCGCGUAUGUCUUCUAAAUGGGCUUCGAAUGUGUCUAAAAAAAUUAUGACAUCAUCCAAAUAAACUAAUGCUUUCUUUCCUAAAAUGUCUCUUAGAACGUAAUUCAUUGUUCUUUGAAAUGUUGCCGGAGCGUUACACAAUCCAAAAGCCAUUCUUUUAAAUUGGUAUAAAUUAUUUUCUAUGAUAAAUGCCGUUUUUUCUUUAGCUGAAUCUUCUAGUUCUAUCUGCCAGUAGCCAGAUGCUAGGUCAAGAGUCGUAAAAAACUUUUUUCCGUGUAGUUGGUCGAGAGUGGUAUCUGGUAAAGUGAAUGAAUCUUUUACAGUAACGCUGUUUAAUUUACGAUAGUCUACGCAAAAUCGUAAACUUCCGUUUUUCUUUUCUACGAGUACAACAGGUGCCGCCCAGGGAGAGGUAGAUAACUCGGCGAUGUCUUUAUCCAACAUCUCCUUAAUUUGUCGUCUUAACUCUUCCUGAUGCUUCCUUGCUGCUCGAUAGGGUCUAAGUCUGAUAGGGCCUCUUCCUUGGGUGUCUAUACUAUGCUUAAUUAAACCGGUAUAUCCUAAUUGAGAAUCUGUUGUAGCGAAAAUGUCUUUGAAAUCGUUUAAUAAUUUAAUUAAAGGUUUUUUAUAUUGAAAUUCUACGUUGAUUGUUCUACGUUGAUUUCCGCUUGUUCUUCAUUUGGCAAUGUGUCAUUUUCAUUUUUUACGUCAAUUUUUCCAAUUAACUGACAAGCUGUUUCGACAUUGCCCAAUAAAAUUCCCCGCGGUAAAUGAAUGAGUUUACUUGAAAUUUUACGAAUCAGCAAAUUAUUGCUUGAAUACAGAGGUACUCUUCCUGCUUUGUCUCUCGCCAAAAAAAUAGUCUUAGUUCGACCACAUAGUACGAACUCAUGUUUAAAAGCAGCGUCAACGCCUAAAAUGCAUGCUUCAGAAAUUCCGCUUGUAAUAAUAAAUUCUUGUUCAAGUAUAUAUUCUCCAUAUUGGACAGGUAGCUUUACCUUCCCUAGGGUCUGUAAUUUUCUAUUCUGUACGUCAAAUAAAUCUGUUUCGGUCUCAGCACUGGCCAGUUGCAUUUCCGACGGUAAUAAUCUAUAAACUUUUUCGUGUAAAAGGCUUCUUGCAGCGCCUGUAUCAAACAGCGCAUCAAAUUGAAUCUUAUCGAUAAAAAGGGAAAUACGGGGUGCUGAACUAUUUUGAAUAAUUGUAAUGUGAGAAAUCUGCCGGGUUUUUCCAUAAAAAGAGGUUUGCCUACCAACUGACCCAAAGCUGCAGUUGGUACCUAAGCGUUUCCCUGUCCAUGAGAUGGACCAGGAAUAUUAGGCUUUUGCUGUAUUUGUCUAUUGAUGCAUUCAUUCGCUCUAUGUCCUACGUGGCCUUUCAUGCCACAAGCAUGACAGGUAGUCAGAUCUGAGCAUGGGGAAUAUUGAGAUGUGAAGAAGGGUCGAGGUGGAGGGUUAUUAAUCUGGUACCUGUUUGGAGGGUUGCUCACAAAAUGGGGAGGUGGAGUAUUGUAAUUUUGUGGAGUAUUGUAAUUUUGUCGGUAUUGAUUGUAACCAUUGCUUGUUUGGUAUGAAUUUGCUUGUCUAAUAUUACUAUUAUUGGAAAAUCUGGUUCUAUUACGAUCACUGUCUUCUAUCAAUCGAGUCACUGCUUUUUCCAAUCUUUCUACCUGGUCUGCGCUAGCAGGUCUCUGGGGGUUUCCAUCUUUUUCAGGGACCUUUUGGGGAUACCUGGUACCUGUCGCGAGGGCAUUUAUGGUUUCAGGUAGUUUCUCUAUUGCUUUUAAAAUUUCAAUACUGGUGGAGCUGUUCUCUACUGCGUUAAUAAAUUCUCUUUUGUCUUUUUCUUCUUUUUCUCCAUCCAGACGUAGAGCGUAUUUAUUGGUUUCGGCAACUAAGGCUUCGUAUGUAGUGAAACGUUUGUAGCGGACUUUGUUUCUAAGAGUUUUGUCUAACCCUUGAACAAAUUUUUGUCGCAGCAUUUGGA
Daphnia magna is the source of this 3291-nucleotide long non-coding RNA. RefSeq lists it as uncharacterized. Lineage: Eukaryota; Metazoa; Arthropoda; Branchiopoda; Diplostraca; Daphniidae. The record is from RefSeq and is a predicted model, not a curated record. The transcript is spliced from 2 exons.